UAACUGGAAUAUCUCAAAAGAUUUUCUCAAAUACUUUGUGGAACUGGCCAAAACAUUCCUUCAUAAAGUAACAUGUAGAAAUAGAGAGAUGGCAAAAAAAAUGUACAGCUUACAGAGUUUAAAAGCUUCUUACCAGUCAAAGAAAAGCAACCUGCUU
Long non-coding RNA from Haliotis rubra (blacklip abalone), 157 nucleotides. RefSeq lists it as uncharacterized. The record is from RefSeq and is a predicted model, not a curated record. The transcript has 3 exons. Lineage: Eukaryota; Metazoa; Mollusca; Gastropoda; Lepetellida; Haliotidae.